GCCUGGGUAAAUCGUGUAGCUUAACUAUACGACUUCCGGGUAGACUGCUAAACUUGAGACCGGGAGAGGCUAGAGGUACUCCUGGGGUAGAGGUGAAAUUCUGUAAUCCUAGGGGGACCACCAGUGGCGAAGGCGUCUAGCUAGAACGGGUCUGACGGUGAGGGACGAAGCCCUGGGGCACAAACCGGAUUAGAUACCCGGGUAGUCCAGGGUGUAAACGCUGCUUGCUUGAUGUUAGUUGGGCUCCGAGCCCAACUAGUGUCGGAGAGAAGUUGUUAAGCAAGCUGCCUGGGAAGUACGGUCGCAAGGCUGAAACUUAAAGGAAUUGGCGGGGGAGCACAGCAACGGGUGGAGCGUGCGGUUUAAUUGGAUUCAACGCCGGAAAACUCACCGGAGGCGACGGUUACAUGAAGGCCAGGCUGAUGACCUUGCCUGAUUUUCCGAGAGGUGGUGCAUGGCCGCCGUCAGUUCGUACCGUAAGGCGUUCUGUUAGGUCAGACAACGAACGAGACCCUCAUCUUUAAUUGCUACUGGUAAGUUCGCUUACUGGGCACAUUAGAGAAACCGCUGGCGAUAAGUCAGAGGAAGGCGAGGGCAACGGUAGGUCAGUAUGCCCUGAAUCCUCCGGGCUACACGCGCGCUACAAAGGCUAGGACAAUGAGCUUCAACACCGAGAGGUGAAGGUAAUCUCGAAACCUUGUCGUAGUUCGGAUUGAGGGUUGAAACUCACCCUCAUGAAGCUGGAAUCCGUAGUAAUCGCGGAUCAACAUCCCGCGGUGAAUAUUCCCCUGCUCC
This 795-nucleotide ribosomal RNA is filed under the name uncultured archaeon. RNAcentral's name for it is "bacterial SSU rRNA". It matches the Rfam family "Archaeal small subunit ribosomal RNA", at positions 539 to 1336 of the family's 1478-position model. The record is from RNAcentral.